UAGAUGCCACGAAGUAGGUGGCAAUGCCUUGACCAUAUGCAUGUUGUUAGGCCCGAGAACCUCUUCCAUCCUUACAAAGAGUGGUUAGAUGCCACCAAG
This is a long non-coding RNA of Myotis brandtii (Brandt's bat), 99 nucleotides long. RefSeq lists it as uncharacterized. The transcript is spliced from 4 exons. NCBI's taxonomy places the organism in Eukaryota, Metazoa, Chordata, Mammalia, Chiroptera, Vespertilionidae. The record is from RefSeq and is a predicted model, not a curated record.